This 1107-nucleotide ribosomal RNA is filed under the name uncultured bacterium. Its description in RNAcentral is "bacterial SSU rRNA". It matches the Rfam family "Bacterial small subunit ribosomal RNA", at positions 8 to 1104 of the family's 1533-position model. The record is from RNAcentral.
AGAGUUUGAUCCUGGCUCAGAUUGAACGCUGGCGGCAGGCCUAACACAUGCAAGUCGAACGGUAACAGGAAGAAGCUUGCUUCUUUGCUGACGAGUGGCGGGCGGGUGAGUAAUGUCUGGGAAACUGCCUGAUGGAGGGGGAUAACUACUGGAAACGGUAGCUAAUACCGCAUAACGUCGCAAGACCAAAGAGGGGGACCUUCGGGCCUCUUGCCAUCGGAUGUGCCCAGAUGGGAUUAGCUAGUAGGUGGGGUAACGGCUCACCUAGGCGACGAUCCCUAGCUGGUCUGAGAGGAUGACCAGCCACACUGGAACUGAGACACGGUCCAGACUCCUACGGGAGGCAGCAGUGGGGAAUAUUGCACAAUGGGCGCAAGCCUGAUGCAGCCAUGCCGCGUGUAUGAAGAAGGCCUUCGGGUUGUAAAGUACUUUCAGCGGGGAGGAAGGGAGUAAAGUUAAUACCUUUGCUCAUUGACGUUACCCGCAGAGGAAGCACCGGCUAACUCCGUGCCAGCAGCCGCGGUAAUACGGAGGGUGCAAGCGUUAAUCGGAAUUACUGGGCGUAAAGCGCACGCAGGCGGUUUGUUAAGUCAGAUGUGAAAUCCCCGGGCUCAACCUGGGAACUGCAUCUGAUACUGGCGAGCUUGAGUCUCGUAGAGGGGGGUAGAAUUCCAGGUGUAGCGGUGAAAUGCGUAGAGAUCUGGAGGAAUACCGGUGGCGAAGGCGGCCCCCUGGACGAAGACUGACGCUCAGGUGCGAAAGCGUGGGGAGCAAACAGGAUUAGAUACCCUGGUAGUCCACGCCGUAAACGAUGUCGACUUGGAGGUUGUGCCCUUGAGGCGUGGCUUCCGGAGCUAACGCGUUAAGUCGACCGCCUGGGGAGUACGGCCGCAAGGUUAAAACUCAAAUGAAUUGACGGGGGCCCGCACAAGCGGUGGAGCAUGUGGUUUAAUUCGAUGCAACGCGAAGAACCUUACCUGGUCUUGACAUCCACGGAAGUUUUCAGAGAUGAGAAUGUGCCUUCGGGAACCGUGAGACAGGUGCUGCAUGGCUGUCGUCAGCUCGUGUUGUGAAAUUUUGGGUUAAGUCCCGCAACGAGCGCAACCC